UUCUUGAAAAUAAAAAAAGUUGGCGGUAUUUUAGACCAUUCAGAGGAACCUGUUCUGUAAAUGAUACUCCACGUUUUAAUUGUCCUAAGUUUUAAAUUUGUAUAUCGUUGUAAUUUAAAUAUUUUAAGUGAAAGUAUAAUAUUUAAAAUUUUAUAUUGAAAAAUACAUCAAAUCAUGGUAUAGUUGAUAUUUAGGAUUUAAUGGGUUACAUUAAUAGAAAUUUUUGGAUUAAAAUUUGAAAUAAUUUUAUGAAAUUGGAUUUGAAAGUAAAAGAAAUAACUUUAUUUUUUUGAGUUAGGCUCUAAAAUAUGUACAUAUUGCCCGUCGCUUUCAUAUUAAAAUGAAAUAAGUCGUAACAAAGUAGGUGUACUGGAAAGUGUACCUAGAAUUCAAAUUAAAGCUUAAGUAAGCAGUUUACUUACAUUAAAAAGAUUGUUGUUAAAUUCAAUAUAAUUUGAAUUUAUUGUUUUAUUAGUAAAUAAUUGUUAAAUUUAAAAUUAAGAAAAAUAUUUAAUUGUUAAAGUAAAUUCUAUGAACUAAUUUUUUUUAUUAUAGAUAACUAGUAUUGAAAAAGAAUUAUAUUAAAUAAUUAAAAGAAAAAGUAAUUUUUGUACCUGGGUAUCAGGGANNNNNNNNNNUUCUCGGAAGUCAAAGAUUUAAUUUAAUUUAGAUUUUACUGUAGAAUAAUUAUUUAAAAAAUUAAAUUAGAAAUGAAACGUUAAACGUUUUUGGUAUAUCUAGUUUUUUUAGAAAAAAGUUUAAUUUUUACGUUAAUAAAUAGAAUUUUUAUGGUUAAAAUUUUUAUUUUUAAUGUAGUAUUUAUUUAGGGAUAAGCUUAGAUAAAAAGUUUUAUAAAUUGUCUAUAAAGUUUAAUAAAUAUAAUUAAAAAUUUUAAUUUUUAGAAAUUUGUUGUAAUUAAUUAAAAUAAAAUAUUGAUUUAGCAUAAUUUUGAAUUUUUUAUAAAAAUAUUUUUUUUACAAAUAAAAAAAAAGAAAUAAUGAUAAAAUUAGUACAAUAAAUUUACUAAGUUGAAUUAAUUUAAAAUCUAGAAUAGGAACUCGGCAAAAAUGGUUCUCACCUGUUUACUAAAAACAUGUCUUAUUGAAAAUAUUUUUAAGUUUGGCCUGCCCACUGUGAAAUUAAUGGCCGCGGUAUUUUGACCGUGCAAAGGUAGCAUAAUCAGUAGUUUUUUAAUUGAGAGCUGGAAUGAAAGGUUGGAUGAGGAACCUUCUGUCUUCACUAGAAUUAAUUAGAAUUUUAUUUUUAAGUAAAAAAGCUUAAAUAUCAGUAAAAGACGAGAAGACCCUAUAGAGUUUGAUUUUUAUUUAAGUAUGAUUUAAAAGAAUUUAA
Molecule: ribosomal RNA, 1350 nt
Filed under: Psilocera sp. 1 NLG-2014
Lineage: Eukaryota; Metazoa; Arthropoda; Insecta; Hymenoptera; Pteromalidae
Description: partial 16S ribosomal RNA
Source: RNAcentral